Cynara cardunculus var. scolymus (artichoke) is the source of this 3667-nucleotide long non-coding RNA. RefSeq lists it as uncharacterized. The record is from RefSeq and is a predicted model, not a curated record. NCBI's taxonomy places the organism in Eukaryota, Viridiplantae, Streptophyta, Magnoliopsida, Asterales, Asteraceae. The transcript has 5 exons.
UUUCUCUGUUCUUAUCCCUUUUUUUCUCUCCAAAAUUUCACUUUCUUGGCUUCUUGCAAACCUAAAACAGAUUCAAAAUGAGGAGAUCUGAGAAGAAGAUCACAUAUAUCCACCAACAGGUUCUUUUGCUAUUGCAGUAUUUGUAGUACUAUUUAUGAUUGCUUGGUUACUUGAUUUGUUUUUAUCUCAAUUCAUAUUUUGAUAUUAUUAUAAUAAUAAUAAACUUGGGAGUUAGGACGAAGUGAGAUCUUAUCGAAAUCAUUAACAAGGUACUUCUUCACCAUCCCUCAUAAUUAAUCAUUAUUGUUAUUGUCUUAACCACACAUUCGUAGCCGGUUUCUUCCUUUUUCUCUUUCCGAAAACAGUCUUGAUUUUCAAUUUUAGGGUUUCCUUCUCCCGUACUUUCUUCUGCAUAAAUAAUGGCUGAGUAUUUUAUCAUUAUUUGUGCUGUUAAUCUUGUUUUCAUCGGUUUAAAUCCCUUUUACUCAUAUGGGUGUUGUGGAUUCCAUCUUUUUUCCGAGAAAAGGAAGUGAAGCAAGGAUGAUACGGUUUGUGACAAGGGUUUUCUUCGUAUAAAGUAUCCUACUUUUUGCAGGACAACAUCUGUCUGCGUUGCUGGGGUGGAAGGAAGAACAGUUCUCUUGGAGUUGGAGUUGAGACGCAUGCAAGCAUAUAUAUGUAUAUACUUCUCUCAGAAUGGCAUCAGAUCAAAGAUGAAUUUUCAGGUCCUGAUGCAAGCUUUUGGAAGCAACAGUUCCUUAUCUAAAUGCACUUAAAAAGUUGCAGUAAAGACCACAUAACGAAGUUGGCGACAAGAGAACCGUAAGGUAGCUGAAAUAUGAGACUUGGGCUUUAAAACUUAAACAAGCCCAAAACCAAGAUUGAAUUGGACUACUGGACCCCUCAUUUGACGGUCGAUGCCUUUGACGUUCACCAUCGCCGCUGCGCUUGCUGUUCGCACAAUCGGUCAAUCGCACUUCCCCAAUCCCCAUUCGAUUAAUCGAUUCUUUUGAGUUUGCCUAACGAGCGAGACGUUCCGAUUCCAGAGGCAUAGGCGCAUAGCCGCAGGGGAUUACUUAGGCAACGGUAAGGCAAGGCAACGGUAACUUCUCUAUUCUCUAACGGGCAAGGGCGCAAGGCAAGGGCAACGGUUGUGACGCUAUGUUUAUGGCCUUGAAUCGAGGAGUUGACGCGACCGAUGAUUGGUUACUGCCGAGUGUCGACUGCCAUCUGUUCGUCGUGCUCGAGAGUGGUAACUCAGUAACUGCUAAUUGGAGGCUUGGAUUUUGCCAUUUUGGAAUUGGAAGUCCGAAGUUGUCAAGUUGGGACUGUUGAACAAGUCUGGAUUGGAAUUUGGAAGCAGGGCCAAGUCUUCAAGAAUGAGUCUUCAAGUUGGAAAGGAAACAUGAGCUUAAUCCAGGUUCUAUCAUUCUAUGCUUGUUGCUUACUUGCUUGACUAUUGCUUGGAUAUUUGUUGCUUGUUUUUCAUAAGAUAUUAGACAUGUUUCCUAGAUCACAACCAUCAGGUGCACAAAAUAGAAAAAGAAAGAAAAGACAACAAGAAAUUGCCCAAUCUUUACAGGGAUCGUUAAAUCGAUAUUUUGUUAGGCAUGAAAAUGUGUCUGAAAAUCCCAUUGAAAAUGUGCCUGAAAAUCCCAUUGGAAAUGUUUCUGAAAAUCCCACUGAAAAUGUUUUUGAAAAUCCCACUGAGAAUGUUUCUGAAAAUCCCAAUGAUUUUGUUGAAAAUAUURAAAAUYUGUGUACUAAUGAAGUUGGGGACGAUGAAAAUCCAUGUAAUGAUGAAGUUMCUUUGAAUAUUUUUGAUCCAAGGGUUUGGGAUGAUUUAGAUUCAAAAAUGAAAGAUUUAGUUGCUGAAAAAGGGCCUAUAAGGGAAACCAACAUCAACUUUCCAAAUGAUAAAAUAGGUAGACACUUUUCUUGUGAACAUUAUGUCCGUAAUUUACGAAAUGGUGAUUCUUAUGAUAGAAAAUGGUUUGUUUAUUCAAAAGAGUUGGAUAAAGUUUUUUGUUGUAAGAUAUUGAAAACUGCUUGGUCUAGAAGUCAAUUAGCUACCGAAGGGAUAAAUGAUUGGAGACAUUUAGGUGAAACAUUAAGUUUGCAUGAAAAUAGUUCUGAGCAUAUGAUUAACUUGAGAACUUGGACUUAGUUGCGAGUGAGAUUGAAUAAAAAUCAAACAAUUGAUAAAGAAUUACAAGAAUUGAUUAAGAAAGAUACAGAUCAUUGGAAAGAAGUUUUGAUUAGAAUAAUUGCUAUUGUGAAGUGUCUAGCACAAUAUAAUUUGGCUUUUCGUGGAUCAAAUGAAAAAAUUUAUCAAAAUUCUAAUGGGAAUUUUUUGGGUAUACUUCAAAUGAUUGCGGAGUUUGAUCCUGUCAUGAAACAACAUUUUCGGCUAAUUAAAGACAAAGAAACUCAUUAUCAUUAUCUUAGCCAUAAAAUUCAAAAUGAACUGAUUCAAUUGUUGGCAUCUGAAGUUAAGAGUGUGAUUAUUAAAAAAAUCAAAGAGGCAAAGUAUUUUUUCCGUAAUUCUUGAUUGCACUCCUGAUGCAAGUCACAAGGAACAAAUGACUUUGAUUAUUAGAUGUGUUGAUAUGUCGUGUGCUCCCAUAAGUGUAGAAGAGUUCUUCUUAGAAUUUUUGGUUGUAGAGGAUACAUCUGGUUUAGGUCUCUUCACUGUGUUACAAAAUGUUUUAAAAUCUCUAGAUUUAAACAUUAAUUGUGUGCAAGGACAAGGUUAUGAUAAUGGAUCUAAUAUGAAAGGAAAACUCCAAGAUGUUCAAAAAAGAUUGCUUGAUGUAAAUCCUAGAGCAUUUUAUAUGUCAUGUGGUUGCCAUAGUUUUAACUUAGUUUUGUGUGAUAUGGCAAAUUCUUGUCAUAAAGCAAAAACUUUUUUUUGGAACAUGUCAAACAAUAUACAAUGUGUUUGCUAAUUCUACUAAGCGAUGUAAUGUUUUACUUGAGUUUAUUGAUGAUCUACACGUUGGGAAAGUCAUAUAGAAAGUGUUAAAGCUAUAAAAAGUCAAUUUGCUCAAAUAAGGGAAGCUUUGUUGAAAUUAUCUCAAGUUAGUGAUGAUGGAAAAUUAUGUAGAGAUGUUGAAUCUUUGGUAAAUGGUGAACUUUCAAGUUUUGAAUUUAUUGUCAGUUUGGUUAUUUGGCAUGAAAUUUUGUAUAUAAUCAAUUUAGUUAGCAAAAAGUUACAAUCUAAAGAUAUGCUACUUGAUGUUGCGGUAAAAAAUUUAGAGGUAUUGGUUUGUUAUUUUGAGAAGUAUAGGGAGACUGGGCUUACUUUUGCCAUUAUUGAAGCUAAACAUAUUGCAAAUGAAAUUGGAAUUGAGCCUGAAUUUUCGAUAAAACGUUCUUAUUUUAGAAAAAAACAGUUUGAUGAGAUUCCAAAUACGGAAAGAGAACAACAAUCUGCUCAAGAAACAUUUAGAACUGAUUAUUUUCUCGUUUUGGUUGAUAUGGCUUUAUCUCAAUUGAAGACUAGAUUUGAGCAAAUGAAAAUUUUGAAUCGAUUUUUGGUUUUUUGUUUGAUGGGUCGAGGUUGGUUCAUUUUAAAUGAUGAAGAAUUGAAAAACUCUUGUAUGAAUCUUGAAGUUGCAUUAACAAAUGGUGAUGAUUGUGAUAUUGAUGGGAAAUAUUUGUUUAU